This 645-nucleotide ribosomal RNA is filed under the name uncultured Alphaproteobacteria bacterium. RNAcentral's name for it is "bacterial SSU rRNA". It matches the Rfam family "Bacterial small subunit ribosomal RNA", at positions 61 to 751 of the family's 1533-position model. Lineage: Bacteria; Pseudomonadati; Pseudomonadota; Alphaproteobacteria. The record is from RNAcentral.
GUCGAACGAACCCUUCGGGGUUAGUGGCGCACGGGUGCGUAACGCGUGGGAAUCUGCCCUUUGCUUCGGAAUAACAGUUAGAAAUGACUGCUAAUACCGGAUGAUGUCUUCGGACCAAAGAUUUAUCGGCAAAGGAUGAGCCCGCGUAGGAUUAGGUAGUUGGUGGGGUAAAGGCCUACCAAGCCGACGAUCCUUAGCUGGUCUGAGAGGAUGAUCAGCCACACUGGGACUGAGACACGGCCCAGACUCCUACGGGAGGCAGCAAGUGGGGAAUAUUGGACAAUGGGCGAAAGCCUGAUCCAGCAAUGCCGCGUGAGUGAUGAAGGCCUUAGGGUCGUAAAGCUCUUUUACCCGGGAUGAUAAUGACAGUACCGGGAGAAUAAGCCCCGGCUAACUCCGUGCCAGCAGCCGCGGUAAUACGGAGGGGGCUAGCGUUGUUCGGAAUUACUGGGCGUAAAGCGUACGUAGGCGGUUAUUCAAGUCAGAGGUGAAAGCCCGGGGCUCAACCCCGGAACGGCCUUUGAAACUAGGUAGCUAGAGUCUUGGAGAGGUCAGUGGAAUUCCGAGCGUAGAGGUGAAAUUCGUAGAUAUUCGGAAGAACACCAGUGGCGAAGGCGACUGACUGGACAAGUACUGACGCUGAGG